This 376-nucleotide ribosomal RNA is filed under the name uncultured organism. Its description in RNAcentral is "partial 16S ribosomal RNA". It matches the Rfam family "Bacterial small subunit ribosomal RNA", at positions 527 to 897 of the family's 1533-position model. The record is from RNAcentral.
GUAGGGGCCAAACGUUUGUCCGGAUUUAUUGGGCGUAAAGGGCUCGUAGGCGGUUCAACAAGUCGAUCGUGAAAACCCGGGGCUCAACCCCGGGACGCCGGUCGAAACUGUUGUGACUAGGGUCCGGUAGAGGUGAGUGGAAUUCUCGGUGUAGCGGUGGAAUGCGCAGAUAUCGAGAGGAACACCAGUUGCGAAGGCGGCUCACUGGGCCGGUACCGACGCUAAGGAGCGAAAGCAUGGGGAGCAAACAGGAUUAGAUACCCUGGUAGUCCAUGCCGUAAACUGUGAACACUAGGUGUGGCGGAUCUAUUGAUGUCUGCCGUACCGUAGCUAACGCGUUAAGUGUUCCGCCUGGGGAGUACGGCCGCAAGGCUAA